GAUYCUCCCACMAUGGACGCCCAAGUCUGAUGGAGCAACGGCGCSUGAGUGGAUAAGCUUUCGGGUCGUAAAACUCUGUGUUGAGAGAAUUGGUCGGCAGAGUAACUGUUGUCGGCGUGACGGUAUCCAACCCAGAAAGCCACGGCUAACUACGUGCCAGCAGCCGCGGUAAUACGUAGGUGGCAAGCGUUAUCCGGAUUUAUUGGGCGUAAAGCGAGCGCAGGCGGUUUUUUUAAGUCUGAUGUGAAAGCCCUCKGGCUUAACCGAGGAAGUGCAUCGGAAACUGGGAAAYUUGAGUGCAGAAGAGGACAGUGGAACUCCAUGUGUAGCGGUGAAAUGCGUAGAUAUAUGGAAGAACACCAGUGGCGAAGGCGGCUGUCUGGUCUGUAACUGACGCUGAGGCUCGAAAGCAUGGGUAGCGAACAGGAUUAGAUACCCUGGUAGUCCAUGCCGUAAACGAUGAAUGCUAGGUGUUGGAGGGUUUCCGCCCUUCAGUGCCGCAGCUAACGCAUUAAGCAUUCCGCCUGGGGAGUACGACCGCAAGGUUGAAACUCAAAGGAAUUGACGGGGGCCCGCACAAGCGGUGGAGCAUGUGGUUUAAUUCGAAGCAACGCGAAGAACCUUACCAGGUCUUGACAUCUUUUGAUCACCUGAGAGAUCAGGUUUCCCCUUCGGGGGCAAAAUGACAGGUGGUGCAUGGUUGUCGUCAGCUCGUGUCGUGAGAUGUUGGGUUAAGUCCCGCAACGAGCGCAACCCUUAUGACUAGUUGCCAGCAUUUAGUUGGGCACUCUAGUAAGACUGCCGGUGACAAACCGGAGGAAGGUGGGGAUGACGUCAAAUCAUCAUGCCCCUUAUGACCUGGGCUACACACGUGCUACAAUGGAUGGUACAACGAGUUGCGAGACCGCGAGGUYAAGCUAAUCUCUUAAAGCCAUUCUCAGUUCGGACUGUAGGCUGCAACUCGCCUACACGAAGUCGGAAUCGCUAGUAAUCGCGGAUCAGCACGCCGCGGUGAAUACGUUCCCGGGCCUUGUACACACCGCCCGUCACACCAUGAGAGUUUGUAACACCCGAAGCCGGUGGCGUAACCCUUUUAGGGAGCGAGCCGUCU
RNAcentral lists this ribosomal RNA (1111 nucleotides) under Lacticaseibacillus rhamnosus. Its description in RNAcentral is "bacterial SSU rRNA". The record is from RNAcentral. Lineage: Bacteria; Bacillati; Bacillota; Bacilli; Lactobacillales; Lactobacillaceae.